Molecule: ribosomal RNA, 569 nt
Filed under: Silverstoneia nubicola (Boquete rocket frog)
Lineage: Eukaryota; Metazoa; Chordata; Amphibia; Anura; Dendrobatidae
Description: partial 16S ribosomal RNA
Rfam family: Bacterial large subunit ribosomal RNA
Source: RNAcentral
CGCCUCUUGUUUAUCAAUAAGAGGUCCAGCCUGCCCAGUGACCCUGUUCAACGGCCGCGGUAUCCUAACCGUGCGAAGGUAGCGUAAUCACUUGUUCUUUAAAUGAGGACUAGUAUGAAUGGCCCCACGAAGGCUACACUGUCUCCUUUUCUUAAUCAAUGAAAUUAAUCUUCCCGUGAAGAAGCGGGAAUAUAAAUAUAAGACGAGAAGACCCUAUGGAGCUUUAAACUAUCGAAACACUUGCUUCACAUUUCUUAUACUCCUGAGCCCUUUCAGUUAUUUAAGCAAUCUUACUUCAAGUUUUAGGUUGGGGUGACCACGGAGCAAAAUUUAACCUCCAUGAUGUAAGAGGCUUCACUCUUAGCUAAAAGCCACUUCUUUAAGCAUCAAUAAAUUGACUCUUAUUGACCCAAUUAUUUGAUCAACGAACCAAGUUACCCUAGGGAUAACAGCGCAAUCUACUUCAAGAGCUCAUAUCGACAAGUAGGUUUACGACCUCGAUGUUGGAUCAGGGUAUCCUAGUGGUGCAGCCGCUACUGAUGGUUCGUUUGUUCAACGAUUAAAACCCU